UACGUAGGGGCUAGCGUUAUCCGGAAUUACUGGGCGUAAAGGGUGCGUAGGCGGUCUUUCAAGCCAGAAGUGAAAGGCUACGGCUCAACCGUAGUAAGCUUUUGGAACUGUAAGACUUGAGUGCAGGAGAGGAGAGUGGAAUUCCUAGUGUAGCGGUGAAAUGCGUAGAUAUUGGGAGGAACACCAGUGGCGAAGGCGGCUUCCUGGCACAAUACUGACACUCAUGUGCGACAGCGUGGGGAGCAACCAGGAUUAGAUACCCGCGUAGU
This 269-nucleotide ribosomal RNA is filed under the name uncultured prokaryote. Its description in RNAcentral is "partial 16S ribosomal RNA". It matches the Rfam family "Bacterial small subunit ribosomal RNA", at positions 524 to 794 of the family's 1533-position model. The record is from RNAcentral.